This 633-nucleotide ribosomal RNA is filed under the name uncultured bacterium. Its description in RNAcentral is "bacterial SSU rRNA". It matches the Rfam family "Bacterial small subunit ribosomal RNA", at positions 71 to 717 of the family's 1533-position model. The record is from RNAcentral.
UUUAGGAGCUUGCUCCUGGUUGAUCUAGUGGCGGACGGGUGAGUAACACGUGAGCAACCUACCCUAAAGUGGGGGAUAACGUUUGGAAACAGACGCUAAUACCGCAUAACAUCCCGAGGUGGCAUCACUUUGGGAUCAAAGAAGCAAUUUGCUUUAGGAUGGGCUCGCGCCCGAUUAGAUAGUUGGUGAGGUAAUGGCUCACCAAGUCUGCGAUCGGUAGCCGGACUGAGAGGUUGAACGGCCACAUUGGGACUGAGACACGGCCCAGACUCCUACGGGAGGCAGCAGUGGGGAAUAUUGCACAAUGGGGGAAACCCUGAUGCAGCGACGCCGCGUGAGUGAAGACGGCCUUCGGGUUGUAAAGCUCUGUCUUCGGGGACGAUAAUGACGGUACCCGAGGAGGAAGCCACGGCUAACUACGUGCCAGCAGCCGCGGUAAUACGUAGGUGGCAAGCGUUGUCCGGAAUUACUGGGUGUAAAGGGAGCGUAGGCGGGAGUUUAAGUUGGAUGUGAAAUGCUGCGGCUCAACCGCAGAGCUGCAUCCAAAACUGGACUUCUUGAGUGAAGUAGAGGCAAGCGGAAUUCCUAGUGUAGCGGUGAAAUGCGUAGAUAUUAGGAGGAACACCAGUGGCG